RNAcentral lists this ribosomal RNA (319 nucleotides) under uncultured eukaryote. Its description in RNAcentral is "partial 18S ribosomal RNA". It matches the Rfam family "Eukaryotic small subunit ribosomal RNA", at positions 1470 to 1796 of the family's 1831-position model. The record is from RNAcentral.
CCCUUAGAUGUUCUGGGCAGCACGCGCGCUACAAUGGUCUUCGCAAACGGAUGCAUUCUCGAAGGAGAAUGCCAAUCUUGGAAUCUAUGCCUUGGUCGGGACAGUUGCUUGCAAUUUUUCGACUCGAACCAGGAAUUCCUUGUAAUCGUGAUUCAUCACAUCACGAUGAAUACGUCCCUGCCCUUUGUACACACCGCCCGUCGCUCCUACCGAUCGAAGAGUGAGGUGAAUUGUUUUGAUCGAUAAGAUUUGACUAUGGUCAACUCUCGUUGUGAAAUUCUGUGAAUCUGACUGUUUAGAGGAAGGAAAAGUCGUAACA